This 440-nucleotide ribosomal RNA is filed under the name uncultured bacterium. RNAcentral describes it as "bacterial SSU rRNA". It matches the Rfam family "Bacterial small subunit ribosomal RNA", at positions 338 to 770 of the family's 1533-position model. The record is from RNAcentral.
CCUACGGGAGGCAGCAGUAGGGAAUCUUCCACAAUGGACGAAAGUCUGAUGGAGCAACGCCGCGUGAGUGAAGAAGGUUUUCGGAUCGUAAAACUCUGUUGUAAGGGAAGAACAAGUGCAGUAGUAACUGGCUGCACCUUGACGGUACCUUAUUAGAAAGCCACGGCUAACUACGUGCCAGCAGCCGCGGUAAUACGUAGGUGGCAAGCGUUGUCCGGAUUUAUUGGGCGUAAAGCGCGCGCAGGCGGUUUCUUAAGUCUGAUGUGAAAGCCCCCGGCUUAACCGGGGAGGGUCAUUGGAAACUGGGAGACUUGAGUGCAGAAGAGGAAAGUGGAAUUCCAAGUGUAGCGGUGAAAUGCGUAGAGAUUUGGAGGAACACCAGUGGCGAAGGCGACUUUCUGGUCUGUAACUGACGCUGAGGCGCGAAAGCGUGGGGAGCA